This 352-nucleotide unclassified non-coding RNA is filed under the name soil metagenome. Its description in RNAcentral is "partial contains 5.8S ribosomal RNA, internal transcribed spacer 2, and large subunit ribosomal RNA". The stretch from base 1 to 120 matches the Rfam family "5.8S ribosomal RNA", at positions 35 to 154 of the family's 154-position model. The record is from RNAcentral.
GAUGAAGAACGUAGCGAAAUGCGAUAAGUAAUGUGAAUUGCAGAAUUCAGUGAAUCAUCGAAUCUUUGAACGCACAUUGCGCCCGCCAGUAUUCUGGCGGGCAUGCCUGUCCGAGCGUCAUUUCAACCCUCGAACCCCUCCGGGGGGUCGGCGUUGGGGAUCGGCCCUUUCACCGGGUGCCGUCCCCCAAAUACAGUGGCGGUCUCGCCGCAGCCUCUCAUGCGCAGUAGUUUGCACACUCGCACCGGGAGCGCGGCGCGUCCACGUCCGUAAAACACCCCAAACUUCUGAAAUGUUGACCUCGGAUCAGGUAGGAAUACCCGCUGAACUUAAGCAUACAAUAAGCGGAGGA